UACGUAGGGGGCAAGCGUUGUCCGGAUUUAUUGGGCGUAAAGAGCUCGUAGGCGGUCUGUUACGUCUGCUGUGAAAACCCAGGGCUUAACCCUGGGCUUGCAGUGGAUACGGGCAGACUAGAGGCAGGUAGGGGAGAAUGGAAUUCCCGGUGUAGCGGUGAAAUGCGCAGAUAUCGGGAGGAACACCGGUGGCGAAGGCGGUUCUCUGGGCCUGACCUGACGCUGAGGAGCGAAAGCGUGGGGAGCGAACAGG
RNAcentral lists this ribosomal RNA (253 nucleotides) under uncultured bacterium. Its description in RNAcentral is "partial 16S ribosomal RNA". It matches the Rfam family "Bacterial small subunit ribosomal RNA", at positions 524 to 776 of the family's 1533-position model. The record is from RNAcentral.